GUGUGACGAAGUCCAGACUUUAGCCAGCCGUGCCCGGGUCAAGAUGGCUGAGAGAGAAGUUUCUUCUUCGGGGGUGGUAUCCGAGUUCCAAAAGGUGACGAAGACUGUCGGGAGGCAGGUGAUUAUGUCUCCUGAAGGGGUUUGGUGUGAUUGUAAAUCCUAUUUUAUCACUAAGGCUCACUUUGUUGAGGAGAAGGGCUUCUAUACAAACAUGGCCGGGUUCUACCGAUCGAAGCACCCGGAUGGUCCGUUGGCUCCUUACAACAAGGAGGAGUUCGAUUCCAGGUUCGAGUUGUUGUCUGUUGCCCGGGCUCCUUUUCCCUUGAGAGACCAUAUAAUGGAAAUGCCCGAGGAUGUUGCGGAUAAGAUGAUCCGGGCGGCGUUCCAGAUUCCGCCCGAUGUUGAGUGGAGAUGGCCUCAGCCCGGGGAGAGGGUGCACCAUCGCCCCGCCGACGGAUUUGUUCCCGUUUGGAUGGAGCACCUCCGAUCGGGAUGGAACCCGAGGUGGCACAUCUUCUUUAAGCACUUAUGUAAAUACGAGUUCAAGUGUUCCCCGAUGCAGCUCACUCCAAAUGCAAUUAAAUGGAUGACCUGGUUCCUGGCGGCUUGCAAUAAGAAGGGUUAUUACCUGACUCUGAAGCUUUUCCAUUUGUUGUUUCAAUUCAAGAGAUCCGGGGUGAAGCCCCUUUAUGAGUUGCGUUUCCGGUCUAAGGAGCUUGGCUUGGGAGCCGGGUUCGUUAGUCCGGUCAUUCAUCAAAGCUCUCUUAAGGGUUGGAAUGGGGAGGUGCUCAUGUUGAAGGGCUUGGACCUGGCUUUUAUGCCGUACAUUGUUUCCGACGAGAAACAAGUGAGAACAGACUUUGGGGCUCCGGGUGCUGCGGGUGCAUUUCGGGAACAACUGCGUGACUUCUGUAGUUGUCUUGGGUCCCAAAUGACCCGGGAUUCGUUCAUGCAACAUGAUAAAUUGCAUGAAUAUGGCUGUAAGUUAUUUUCUUUUCUUACCCGGGUUCGCUCUGUUGUAUUUGGCUGUUUUGUUGUUUGUUUGUUCGUCCUUAGAGUUUUUCUGUUGUUCUAACUUUUGUCUUUGUUAUGUGUAUAUUGCUUCUGACCCGGGUACUUGUUCCUCGUUGCAGGCUUGCCAUAUUUUGAUCCGGAUCUGUGGAAAGAAAUGGCUAGUGAUUCGUUUGCCGCCCAUUUGAAAACUCUAGGGGCAGCCCAUGUUCUCCCCAAGCCGGCUCCUAAGAAGUCCGGGAAGAAGAAGAAGAAGGCUGAAUCCGGGUCUUCCCGGCAGGAGACCGAGGGGACGGGCACCUCUAGUGCCAACCCGGACCUUGUGCUUCGGGAGGAGAAUCCGGAGCCUAGCACAGACGUGGUGGGUGAGGAGAGUCCGGAUCUCCAGCCAAGACUGAAGAAGAUGAGGGCGAGUUCUGCUGUGAAGUCGGCUGCAGAGGCCGAGAGCGUUGAUCCGGGGAAGUCCCCUAUUGAAGUCCUGGAUUUGGAUGUGGAAGGUGAAGAGAGGACCCGGGUAGUUUCGGGGGUUAGUAAACCGGAGUUUGGCCGGUAUUCUUUGAAGAAAGUUAUUGGAUUGAUGUCUGAGCUUCCAUCCGACUAGGAUUGGGAGACAAUGGAGGAGGAAGGUCUUGUGGAGAAUUUUAAAGGACUCGGGAGUCUUUGGGCCGAGCUUGGUGGUCGUUUGGCCGGGUUCAACACCCACGCUCUGAAUCAGUUGAAGAAGGAGAGGGAGUUUUCUGCGUCCACUUUGGGCCAGGUCGCGAAGUUGGAGAAGAGCCGGGAUAUGGAGAGGUCGGCCAGGGAGGUGUUGGAAUCGAGCGUGGCGACCAGAAUCAAAGAAGCUGAGGCCCGUAAAGAAGCUGAACUCGGGCAGAAGGUGAAGGAUGCUGAGAUCCGGGCGGGUGAGGCCGAGGAGAGAGUGUCCGGGUUGGAAAAGGAGGUUGCUGACCUGAAGUUGCAGUUGGAGACCCGGAAGGCCCCUGAAGAGGUCAUUGCUGAAUUUCAGAAGUCUCCAGUCUAUGCAGAUGCUUUGUCAAAGGCCGCGGCUGCGGAGGUGAUGCGUUGCUGGACUGUGGCCGAGAAACACAUCAAGACAGACCCGGGUGCCAACGCGCAGAGCUUUAUCGACUUGUAUAUUGCUGCGAAGGCCAAGAUUAAUGCAGGCGGGGGGGAGCCCGAACCCUAUGUUGCCCCGGGUCAGGAAGUGGACUCGGAUUCUUCUGCUGAAUCUGAACCCUUGGACGAGGAGAUUCCUGUCACCGAUCCCCCUGCUGAUGACCCUCCUGCUUAAGUUUUCUCUGCCUUUACCUUGAAAAACAAUGUUUUUUGUAAGACUGGAUAUGUUUGUGUUUCCGGAU
Daucus carota subsp. sativus is the source of this 2369-nucleotide RNA transcript. RefSeq lists it as uncharacterized. The transcript has 2 exons. The record is from RefSeq and is a predicted model, not a curated record. NCBI's taxonomy places the organism in Eukaryota, Viridiplantae, Streptophyta, Magnoliopsida, Apiales, Apiaceae.